AUUGAACGCUGGCGGCAUGAUUUACACAUGCAAGUCGAACGGUAACAGGCCGCAAGGUGCUGACGAGUGGCGAACGGGUGAGUAAUGCAUCGGAACGUGCCCAGUCGUGGGGGAUAACUACUCGAAAGAGUAGCUAAUACCGCAUACGAUCUAUGGAUGAAAGCGGGGGACCGUAAGGCCUCGCGCGAUUGGAGCGGCCGAUGUCAGAUUAGGUAGUUGGUGGGGUAAAGGCUCACCAAGCCAACGAUCUGUAGCUGGUCUGAGAGGACGACCAGCCACACUGGGACUGAGACACGGCCCAGACUCCUACGGGGGGCAGCAGUGGGGAAUUUUGGACAAUGGGCGCAAGCCUGAUCCAGCAAUGCCGCGUGCAGGAAGAAGGCCUUCGGGUUGUAAACUGCUUUUGUACGGAACGAAACGGCUCUGGUUAAUACCCGGGGCUAAUGACGGUACCGUAAGAAUAAGCACCGGCUAACUACGUG
RNAcentral lists this ribosomal RNA (482 nucleotides) under uncultured bacterium. RNAcentral describes it as "partial 16S ribosomal RNA". It matches the Rfam family "Bacterial small subunit ribosomal RNA", at positions 30 to 507 of the family's 1533-position model. The record is from RNAcentral.